UACGGAGGAUGCAAGCGUUAUCCGGAUUUAUUGGGUUUAAAGGGUGCGCAGGUUGUUUGAUAAGUCAGUGGUGAAAGUCUGUCGCUUAACGGUAGGAUUGCCAUUGAUACUGUUAGACUUGAAUAUGGAUGAGGUAGGCGGAAUGUGUAGUGUAGCGGUGAAAUGCAUAGAUAUUACACAGAACACCGAUUGCGAAGGCAGCUUGCUAAUCCAUCAUUGACGCUGAGGCACGAAAGCGUGGGGAUCAAA
This 249-nucleotide ribosomal RNA is filed under the name uncultured prokaryote. Its description in RNAcentral is "partial 16S ribosomal RNA". It matches the Rfam family "Bacterial small subunit ribosomal RNA", at positions 524 to 772 of the family's 1533-position model. The record is from RNAcentral.